AAUAUUGGACAAUGGGGGCAACCCUGAUCCAGCCAUGACGCGUGUGUGAAGAAGGUCUUCGGAUUGUAAAGCACUUGAUGUUGGGAGGAAGGGCAGUCAGUUACUACCUUGCUUUUUUGCCGUUACCGUAAGAAUAAGCACCGGCUACCUUCGUGCCAGCAGCCGCGGUAAUAAGAAGGGUGCAAGCAUUAAUCGGAAUUACCGGGCGUAAAGCGGGCGUAGGUGGUGUGUUAAGUUGGAAGUGAAAGCCCCGUGCUCAACCUGGGGACUGCUUUCAAAACUGGCAAACUAGAGUAUGGCAGAGGGUGGUGGAAUUUCCUGUGUAGCGGUGAAAUGCGUAGAUAUAGGAAGGAGCACCAGUGGCGAAGACGACCACCUGGGCUAAUACUGACACUGAGGUGCGAAAGCGUGGGGAGCAAAC
RNAcentral lists this ribosomal RNA (421 nucleotides) under uncultured bacterium. RNAcentral describes it as "partial 16S ribosomal RNA". It matches the Rfam family "Bacterial small subunit ribosomal RNA", at positions 360 to 773 of the family's 1533-position model. The record is from RNAcentral.